RNAcentral lists this ribosomal RNA (482 nucleotides) under uncultured bacterium. Its description in RNAcentral is "partial 16S ribosomal RNA". It matches the Rfam family "Bacterial small subunit ribosomal RNA", at positions 30 to 507 of the family's 1533-position model. The record is from RNAcentral.
AUUGAACGCUGGCGGCAAGCUUUACACAUGCAAGUCGAACGGUAACAGCACUUCGGUGGCUGACGAGUGGCGAACGGGUGAGUAAUACAUCGGAACGUGCCUAGUAGUGGGGGAUAACUACUCGAAAGAGUAGCUAAUACCGCAUGAGAUCUAAGGAUGAAAGCAGGGGACCUUCGGGCCUUGCGCUACUAGAGCGGCUGAUGGCAGAUUAGGUAGUUGGUGGGAUAAAAGCUUACCAAGCCGACGAUCUGUAGCUGGUCUGAGAGGACGACCAGCCACACUGGGACUGAGACACGGCCCAGACUCCUACGGGAGGCAGCAGUGGGGAAUUUUGGACAAUGGGCGCAAGCCUGAUCCAGCAAUGCCGCGUGCAGGAUGAAGGCCUUCGGGUUGUAAACUGCUUUUGUACGGAACGAAAAGCCCUCUUCUAAUACAGGAGGGUCAUGACGGUACCGUAAGAAUAAGCACCGGCUAACUACGUG